This 253-nucleotide ribosomal RNA is filed under the name uncultured bacterium. RNAcentral's name for it is "partial 16S ribosomal RNA". It matches the Rfam family "Bacterial small subunit ribosomal RNA", at positions 524 to 776 of the family's 1533-position model. The record is from RNAcentral.
GACGUAGGGCGCGAGCGUUGUCCGGAUUUAUUGGGCGUAAAGAGCUCGUAGGCGGCUUGUCGCGUCGGCUGUGAAAACCCGCGGCUCAACUGUGGGCGGGCAGCUGAUACGGGCAGGCUGGAGUUCGGUAGGGGAGAACGGAAUUCCUGGUGUAGCGGUGAAAUGCGCAGAUAUCAGGAGGAACACCGGUGGCGAAGGCGGUUCUCUGGGCCUGUACUGACGCUGAGGAACGAAAGCGUGGGGAGCGAACAGG